GUCUAUGGCCAGACCACCCUGAACACGCCUGAUCUCAUUUGAUCUCAGCAGCUAAGCAGGGUUAGGCCUGGCUAGUACUUGGAUGGGAGACAAAGCUUAGCUGCUGAAAAUG
Fukomys damarensis (Damara mole-rat) is the source of this 112-nucleotide ribosomal RNA. Lineage: Eukaryota; Metazoa; Chordata; Mammalia; Rodentia; Bathyergidae. The record is from Ensembl.